Molecule: ribosomal RNA, 468 nt
Filed under: uncultured bacterium
Lineage: Bacteria
Description: partial 16S ribosomal RNA
Rfam family: Bacterial small subunit ribosomal RNA
Source: RNAcentral
GACGAACGCUGGCGGCGUGCUUAACACAUGCAAGUCGAACGGAAAGGCCCUGCUUUUGUCGGGUGCUCGAGUGGCGAACGGGUGAGUAACACGUGAGUAACCUGCCCUUGACUUUGGGAUAACUUCAGGAAACUGGGGCUAAUACCGGAUAGGAGCUCCUGCUGCAUGGUGGGGGUUGGAAAAUCUCGGCGGUUUGGGAUGGACUCGCGGCUUAUCAGCUUGUUGGUGGGGUAGUGGCUUACCAAGGCAUUGACGGGUAGCCGGCCUGAGAGGGUGACCGGGCACAGUGGGACUGAGAUACGGCCCAGACUCCUACGGGAGGCAGCAGUGGGGAAUAUUGCACAAUGGGCGGAAGCCUGAUGCAGCGACGCCGCGUGCGGGAUGACGGCCUUCGGGUUGUAAACCGCUUUCGGCUGUGACGAAGCGUAAGUGACGGUAAUGGGUAAAGAAGCACCGGCUAACUACGUG